Molecule: ribosomal RNA, 407 nt
Filed under: uncultured bacterium
Lineage: Bacteria
Description: partial 16S ribosomal RNA
Rfam family: Bacterial small subunit ribosomal RNA
Source: RNAcentral
AUUGAACGCUGGCGGCAGGCCUAACACAUGCAAGUCGAGCGGAGCGGCGGACGGGUGAGUAAUGACUAGGAAUCUGCCUGGUAGUGGGAGAUAGCGUACGGAAACAGACGCUAAUAACGCAUACUAGCAAUUGAGCCUAGGUAGGAUUAGCUAGUUGGUGGGUUAGAGGCCUACCAAGGCGACGAUCCGUCACUGGUCUGAGAGGAUGAUCAGUCACACUGGAACUGAGACACGGCCCAGACGCCUACGGGAGGCAGCAGUGGGGAAUAUUGCACAAUGGGCGCAAGCCUGAUCCAGCCAUGCCGCGUGUGUGAAGAAGGUCUUCGGAUUGUAAAGCACUUUAAGUUGGGAGGCGUUACCAACAGAAUAAGCACCGGCUAACUUCGUGCCAGCAGCCGCGGUAAUAC